This is a non-coding RNA of Dipodomys ordii (Ord's kangaroo rat), 70 nucleotides long. Lineage: Eukaryota; Metazoa; Chordata; Mammalia; Rodentia; Heteromyidae. The record is from Rfam.
GGGAAGGUAGCUCAGUGGUAGAGUGCUUGUCUUAUACUCAUGAGGCCCUGGGUUCCAUUCCUCAGCACCA